UACGUAGGGGGCAAGCGUUGUCCGGACUUACUGGGCGUAAAGCGCGCGCAGGCGGAUGAGUAUGUGCCGUGUGAAAGCGCCGGGCUAACCCCGGCGAGGUCAUGGUAGACAGCUCGUCUGGAGCCUCAGAGAGGUCGAUGGAAUUCCGGGUGGAGCGGUGAAAUGCGUAGAUAUCCGGAGGAACACCAGGGGCGAAAGCGGUCGACUGGCUGAGUGCUGACGCUGAGGCGCGAAGGCGUGGGGAGCAAACCGG
This 253-nucleotide ribosomal RNA is filed under the name uncultured bacterium. RNAcentral describes it as "partial 16S ribosomal RNA". It matches the Rfam family "Bacterial small subunit ribosomal RNA", at positions 524 to 776 of the family's 1533-position model. The record is from RNAcentral.